AUGACCAUCCAAGAUCCGGGCCGGCGCAUCAUGGCUCGCGUCAAACGGACGAUGAGCAGAUUGUACACGGGCGUACUGAGCAUCGACGCCCCAGCCUGUCUCCUCACCAAGAUUGAAGAUGUCACCUGGCGAUGGCAUGCGAGGAUGGGACACCUGCACUUUAGAGCUUUGCGAGCCAUGUCUUCGAAGGAAAUGGUACGCGGGAUGCCAGUCAUUGACCGCGUCGAGGAGUACUGUGAUGGUUGUGCAUUGGGCAAACAGCACUGUGCCCCUUUUCCUCAAGUGGCCGGAUACAGAGCAGAGAAAGGCCUUGAGCUUGUUCAUACAGACUUGUGUGGGCCAAUCACACCAACCACAUCGGGUGGCAGUCAGUAUUUCUUGCUGAUAGUUGACGAUUACAGUCGAUACAUGUGGUUGGACUUGCUGAAAUCCAAGGAUGAAGCUCAUCAGAAGUUCAAGAAAGUGCAGGCAAUGGCUGAGAACGAGGGGAAAUGCAGGCUUCGUGCAUUCCGGUCUGACCGGGGGGGUGAGUUCAACUCCAUUGAGUUCAAAGAAUACUGCGAGCAGCUGGGCAUCAAACACUACACGACCACCCCGUACUCCCCUAAGCAGAACGGAGUGGUUGAACGCCGGAAUCAGACCAUCGUCAAGAUGGCGCGUUGCCUGCUCAAAAGCAUGGCCGUGCCGUCAUAUUUCUGGGCUGAAGCAGUGAAGACCGUGGUGUACCUUCUCAAUAGAGCUCCCACGCGGAGCUUCGACGGGGUGACGCCGUAUGAGGCUUGGCACGGCCACAAGCCAAGCGUGCUGCACCUACGUGUGUUUGGGUGUGUGGCACAUGUCAAAAAGCUUGGCCCUGGAGUGACGAAGCUCUCGGAUCGAUCAACCCCAAUGAUCUUCGUAGGCUACGAGGAAGGAACCAAGGGCUAUCGUGUGUACAAUCCGGCUACACAAAAGGUACAAGUCACACGUGAUGUUUUAUUUGAGGAGAGCAGGCCAUGGACUUGGAAUGCAUAGGGCGCGGUCACGGCGCCCACGCCGACGACGUUCACUGUGGUCUAUGCAAAUGACCAUGGUGUGCACGAGCUGGACACGGGCUGCUCACCUACGCCUGCACCGAGGAGCGCGGCACCACCACCCUCUACGCCA
Molecule: ribosomal RNA, 1146 nt
Filed under: Triticum aestivum (bread wheat)
Lineage: Eukaryota; Viridiplantae; Streptophyta; Magnoliopsida; Poales; Poaceae
Description: partial small subunit ribosomal RNA
Source: RNAcentral